Molecule: ribosomal RNA, 497 nt
Filed under: uncultured bacterium
Lineage: Bacteria
Description: partial 16S ribosomal RNA
Rfam family: Bacterial small subunit ribosomal RNA
Source: RNAcentral
GACGAACGCUGGCGGCGUGCCUAAUACAUGCAAGUUGAGCGCUGAAGGUUGGUACUUGUACCAACUGGAUGAGCAGCGAACGGGUGAGUAACGCGUGGGGAAUCUGCCUUUGAGCGGGGGACAACAUUUGGAAACGAAUGCUAAUACCGCAUAAAAACUUUAAACACAAGUUUUAAGUUUGAAAGAUGCAAUUGCAUCACUCAAAGAUGAUCCCGCGUUGUAUUAGCUAGUUGGUGAGGUAAAGGCUCACCCAGGCGAGGAUACAUAGCCGACCUGAGAGGGUGAUCGGCCACAGUGGGACUGAGACACGGCCCAAACUCCUACGGGAGGCAGCAGUAGGGAAUCUUCGGCAAUGGACGAAAGUCUGACCGAGCAACGCCGCGUGAAUGAAGAAGGUUUUCGGAUCGUAAAACUCUGUUGGUAGAGAAGAACGUUGGUGAGAGUGGAAAGCUCAUCAAGUGACGGUAACUACCCAGAAAGGGACGGCUAACUACGUG